Molecule: ribosomal RNA, 442 nt
Filed under: uncultured Clostridium sp.
Lineage: Bacteria; Bacillati; Bacillota; Clostridia; Eubacteriales; Clostridiaceae
Description: bacterial SSU rRNA
Rfam family: Bacterial small subunit ribosomal RNA
Source: RNAcentral
CUACGGGCGGCAGCAGUGGGGAAUAUUGGGCAAUGGGCGAAAGCCUGACCCAGCAACGCCGCGUGAAGGAAGAAGGUCUUCGGAUUGUAAACUUCUUUGGUCAGGGACGAAACAAAUGACGGUACCUGAAGAACAAGCCACGGCUAACUACGUGCCAGCAGCCGCGGUAAUACGUAGGUGGCGAGCGUUAUCCGGAUUUACUGGGUGUAAAGGGCGUGUAGGCGGGCUCAUGAGUCAGAUGUGAAAUCUCCAGGCUUAACUUGGAAACUGCAUCUGAAACUGUGAGUCUUGAGUGUCGGAGAGGAAAGCGGAAUUCCUAGUGUAGCGGUAAAAUGCGUAGAUAUUAGGAGGAACACCAGUGGCGAAGGCGGCUUUCUGGACGAAAACUGACGCUGAGGCGCGAAAGCGUGGGGAGCAAACAGGAUUAGAUACCCCUGUAGUC